AGUGAGUAGCUUGCUAUGAGCUGUUUUAGCGGCGGACGGGUGAGUAACGCGUGGGUAACCUGCCUUGUACUGGGGGAUAGCAGCUGGAAACGACUGCUAAUACCGCAUAAGCCCACGGUGCCGCAUGACACUGAGGGAAAAGGAUUUAUUCGCUUUAGGAUGGACUCGCGUCCAAUUAGCUAGUUGGUGAGGUAACGGCCCACCAAGGCGACGAUUGGUAGCCGGACUGAGAGGUUGAACGGCCACAUUGGGACUGAGACACGGCCCAGACUCC
Molecule: ribosomal RNA, 274 nt
Filed under: uncultured Subdoligranulum sp.
Lineage: Bacteria; Bacillati; Bacillota; Clostridia; Eubacteriales; Oscillospiraceae
Description: partial 16S ribosomal RNA
Rfam family: Bacterial small subunit ribosomal RNA
Source: RNAcentral